AAUGGGGGAAACCCUGAUGCAGCGACGCCGCGUGAGCGAUGAAGUCCUUCGGGAUGUAAAGCUCUUUCGACGGGAACGAUAAUGACGGUACCCGGAGAAGAAGCUGCGGCUAACUACGUGCCAGCAGCCGCGGUAAUACGUAGGCAGCAAACGUUGUUCGGAAUUACUGGGCGUAAAGAGUGUGUAGGCGGUUGGGCAAGUCUGGUGUGAAAUCUCCCGGCUUAACUGGGAGGGUGCGCUAGAAACUGCUUGACUUGAGUGUCGGAGAGGAAGGCGGAAUUCCUGGAGUAGCGGUGAAAUGCGUAGAUAUCAGGAGGAACACCAGCGGUGUAGACGGCCUUCUGGACGACAACUGACGCUGAGACACGAAAGCGUGGGGAGCAAA
RNAcentral lists this ribosomal RNA (385 nucleotides) under uncultured bacterium. Its description in RNAcentral is "bacterial SSU rRNA". It matches the Rfam family "Bacterial small subunit ribosomal RNA", at positions 370 to 772 of the family's 1533-position model. The record is from RNAcentral.